RNAcentral lists this long non-coding RNA (19150 nucleotides) under Citrus x clementina. RNAcentral's name for it is "Citrus clementina (C. clementina) long non-coding RNA (CCLE_LNC002773)". The record is from RNAcentral. Lineage: Eukaryota; Viridiplantae; Streptophyta; Magnoliopsida; Sapindales; Rutaceae.
GUAAUGAAAUGGCAAUUGGAUCUUUCCGUAUUGUCUCUUCCAUCUUUUUCUCCAAGUCGGCAACAUUUGGGAUAUUAAACAUGCGCGUCUCUGCGGCAACUGAUACGGCAACAACAUGAAUGAUGUCAUGCAUUUUAACUUCAUCUUCAGCAUCACCGUCCAACAAUAAGCAUGAAGAUUUGAGAUUGUCGAUCAACCGAUGCACCCUACUCCUUGCUUCUUCCAAUGUGUAAACAUUUUCAAACAAACCCCAACCCACACCAUAUCUCAAUAAGUAAGGAACUGGUAUAGCAUGACCUUCACUGUAUAGACCACAAAGACGGAACAUAGAUUUUGCUUCCUCACUUCUCAAGAAGUCGUAACUCAAUUUUAUGGAGAGGUACACAUUUUUUUCCAUUCCAUCAAUUUCUUUUGCAUAGGAACUUCUUAGCUGACGCAGCACAUCUUUCCAAGUGUCAAGGCUCUCAUUUUUCAAAGCUUUUGCAAGUGUAAUCAGUGCAACCGGCAGUUCUCCGCAUCUUCCGACGAUCUCAUGUGCUAUAGGUUGAAAAGCAGAUGUUUUCAUUGAAUCACCCACUAUCUUCUGAAAUAAAUGCAAUGCUUCUUCUUUUGAUAAAGCAUCGAUCUGGAUCUCUUUCUGAGAAUUCAUAACAUUGCGCAAUAAAUCUUGACGUCUAGACGUCAGUAUUAUUGUGCAUCGUCGCUGAUCAUCCAUUCUUUCUUUCUUAACAUCCCCGGAAGGAAUUCCAACUUCAUCGAACUUCAGUUCUCCCCAAAUAUUAUCCAAUAUAAUGAGAUGCCGCUCCUCGUUCUUCAAAACUCGACAUAGUCGAUUUGCUCUGUCGAAUAUACUCUCAUUCAACUCAAACUUUAUGCCUAAAUCAGAAGCAAGUUUGUCUUGAAUUUUCUGAUGAUCUGGGUUCUCUGUUACCUCAGCCAUAGCGACCUUAUCGAACAACUUAUCUUUUUCCAUCACUCGCUUUGCAACUUGCUUGACGAGCGUGGUUUUACCCACGCCGCCCAUCCCGUAGACCCCAAUAAUGUUGAGCUUAUCAUCCUUCAACGCCUCCACAACAUCUUGAAAUACUUUCAUUCUUGAAUCAAAGGCCUCGUAAUCUUUCACUUGCAAAUGUUCUGUACUCUCUGGAGCAGGAAGGUAGGAAACUUCCCUGAAGUCGCCUUCUUUUAUGAGACUAUCGGCUGCUUCUUUGUCCAUUGCAGCUUGUUUACUAACCCUGUAACGAGAAAUCAAAUUUGGGCACAAUCCAUCUUCAGUAUCAAUGAUGGGUUUUUCAAUCAAUCCAUCAACUUUUUUAAGCCAGAUUUCGACGUCAUCAAAAAUCUUAUCUCCUUGUCGAGUAGCCUGAUCAACGGCUUUUUCCACCCUUUGUCUUUCUUGUUUCAGCUUCUCCACUUGUUCUUUUAGCCCAUCGAUGUUGCUUUUGUACUCUGGCACAUAAGAUAUUGGUCGUAUAAUAAGUUCGAACAAUGUCUUUGCACCACCGGAUACAAUGCUGGAAAUAGCAUUGAGACACCCUUGUGCAGCCAUUGCGAGACACCCUUCUGCAGCCAUUGCCUGUUGCUAAACAAUAUAUAUAUAUAUAAAUAAAAGUGUCAAAGAAAUGAAUACAAAUAAAUUAAAAUGAACUAGAGGGAAAGACAGAGAAAGGAAAGACCGCAAACAACAUCGCGAUAUUGAUAUUGAACCAACUGAUACCUAAAUAGAGAAUUUCUUUUUCCAUCUUAAGGAUCAGAGGUUUCGCUAUUAACAGAAAGGUAUCCUUCAAGGAAAGUUGAUGGAAAUUAAGAAAGAACCGCUAUCAAUAUCAAGUAUUCUGCUACUAAAAAUAAAUGAUAUGACUUAAGAAAAAUAAAUGAUAUGAUUAAGAAAAACCAGAGAAUUUUUUCCUCGGAAAGUUGAUGGAAAUUAAGAAAAAACCGCUAUGAAGAACAAGUAUCAGAGAUUCUGCUACUAAAAGAAUAUUACAGGUUUUAGAACAAGUGCACCUCUUUACCUGUCUCGGAUCAGAGUUGAUGAGCUGCUGUAUUCACCUUGAAUAUAGAAGAAAAAUUUUAUUGAGCAAAAGGAUCUCUGUUGACUAAAGAGGAAUGCGAGUAACGAGUUGAUGAGAGUAAUAACAAUGAAUUUCCAAAAGAAGACGACUUGAGCAUUAAGCACGCAUCCCUUUUUCAAUCAAAUACUGGUACGUAUGUCCGUAGGGACCAUUAUGCGUAUACGAAGUCUAUUAGUUGCAAUCAGAAGCCCCGGCCCAAUUUAAUUGACACUCGAUUUUUGAUAAGAAGAAGGCAAGGAUAAGGAUAAAGUCAAUCAAUCACCAACAGUAAUUACUUCAAUCUUUGUCAAUAUACUUAAAUUGUCGAUCAACAUGAAAAUUGUUUAAAUUGAUAUUUGUAAAUGAAUCAAUUUUCUAGUUACUAUGAUUAUAACGUUUCACCUUUCAUAUUGGAUUUUAUCUUUUCAAAAGUUUUCAAAUGUGAGUUUCAAUAAUUAUUGAGACUCCAAGCCGUGCUCUCAAGAUUGUGCUGACAAAUCACCAUUAGCUUUAUUUAUGCAUAUUUCAAAGAAAAAAAAAGUUAUGGUUUGUAUUGCCAGCCCUGCUACUUUUUGUUUUUUUUCAUUUGUAUUAUUUACGAAUUAUUUUUUAACAGAAACAUGAGAACUCUUCAUCGUACAAAAUUGCAUGAAAAAACCUUCAAAUUUAUAAAAGUAAAUUUCAUUGACAGAUUGUGGAUAUGUUUGCAAGAAUAAGGAUAAGAAUGAGUUAAGAAAUUAAAAAAAAAAAAAAAGAUAGUGUAAGUAAACAAUGUUUUGGUACAUUUGGUAUUGUUUUCAAAAUAUUUUGAAAAGAAAAAUUUUCAAUCAUCCACCUAAAAAUUAUCUUAUUAUCCAAAAAGUUAUAAAAAUUUAAAUAUACUUAAUUUUAUACCCAUUAUUACAAUGUGUAUAACUGUUUACUAAAAAUUUAAAUAUACUUAACGGAUGUUUAAUACAAAUUGCAUACAUUGGGUGUAAAAUUAAAUAAAUUUAAAUUUUAUAAUAAUUUUAAUAACUGAAUAAACUUUGAGUAAAUGACUGAUAAUUUUUCUUUUAUAAGCUAUAAGAAGUCAAAUAAAAAAUAGGAUGAUAAUUUCUGAUGGGUGUCGAAGCCAACAAAAAUAAAUUCCUACUCUAAAUAAAUUGUGUAUAGUGAUUGAGCAGGGUCGUGUCCACAGAGAUCGGUAAUUAUUUAAAUCCUUUUGAAACGUAAAACGUAAAAUGAGGGAAUUGUUGACAAUAAUAAAAAUCAAACUAAAAUAACGAGAAUGUAAAUUAAAGUUGUGAUUCAAAUUGGAGAAAGCUCUGGUUGAAGGAAUUAACUCAGCUUGAUUCGACUACUGAUCAUUGAUUCAAAUAUAGAUUAUUAUUACUUAUGAAUAGACCGGUUAUAGCUACUGAGACCCUCUAAUAGCCAAUCUCUCCUUAACUAGUCGAUAACCAAAGUACGACCGUUGGUUAUUUCCCUAAUCAAUAGACAACCCUAGAUACGAUCAUAUGAUUUAAUCAAUUGACAGCCUGAAAAACCAGAGAGACCCAAAUCCUAAUCAACACAUAUGAUGAUUCAUUUAAAUUAGAUUGUUUAUUCUCACAACACAACUCUCUGCUAUGUUAUUUGUCACAAACAUUAAAUUCUUCAUACGAUGAAUCCUUUAAUUGACAAUAGAUUAAGUUGAUAAUUAAAUAGUGGCCAAUUACCUAAUUAACAAACAUAAUCAUGAAAAUAAUUCAGAGAAUAAACAAAUACCCAAAAGCAAUAAAACAAUUAAAGCACAAGAAAGAUCUCACAGUACUGAUGAAUCAAAGCUUCAUUAUCCUUCAACCAGAAAAAUGGGUUUAGUUCCUCAUAGAGAGAAGAGAAAAAUUAGAUCUAGGGUUUCUUUUUCUCCAAUCCAAAAAUCCCCUUUUUUCACAAUAGAUUCCUCCCUUAAAUACUCUCUCUCUCUUCUCUUUUAGAGUUCUAUUUAAAAUAAAAUACUAAUAUCUGAAAUAUUAAAUUCGUAAUUACAAAAAUAGCCAAAAAUACAAAACACGUUAAACUCAAAACUGCAGGUUCGCAGUUGACAGCACGCGCCCACGCCUUAUCAACAAAGUUCUUCUGCCGCUCAUAAUUUCUCCAAGAGAACAAUCAUCCUUAAACAUCAUCUUAUAGCUCAAUUUUAUCACCAAUUAAUAGAAUUGCACCUACAAAAGUAAAACACAAGUAAAUCACUAUUAUUAAGUGCAAAACAUCGAUAUUAAGGGAAGUAAACAAUGCAAAACUAGUGCAUAAAUUGCACUCUAACAAUUUCUCUUUUAUAUUGCUCAGAUGAUUUAUUGUUUGGGGACUAAGAUUUUAAGUAUUCAACUUAAAAGAUUAAUAUAUUAUAAAUUGAUUAAUUAAUUAAUCAUUAAGCAACUAAAUUGGGUCCCUGGAUGUCAAUUCCUUUAAUAUUGAUGCAACAACCUUUUUUUGGCAAAUAAUUGUUAAUGCACUUACGGAACUUUUGCGUGUCUACACAGCGAGUUCCAGGACAUUUUCGCAUUGUGCAACAAUUGCUAAUAGCACCUUUUUACGAUUAAUUUAUAAUAUAAUUUCAGUAAAGAUAGAAAUACAAAUUUUAUAUAAAUUGAUAUGAUAUUACUUAAAAACAUUUCAUUGCUCACAUGAGUUACUGCUGAAGCCUAUGAUUUUAGAUACUCAACCCAAAAGAUUAGCCUAUUGAGAGGAGGGAGGUCUAUGAUUUUAGAUACUCAACCCAAAAGAUUAGCUUCUUGAGAGGAGGGACCACUUGUAUUUAUUAGGAAUGGGCAUCAGAUCAGAUUUGGGUUGAUUUGAUCCGAUCCGAUAUGAGCUAAUCUUAUUUGGAUUGGAUUCGAAUUUAGCUCUAAAUCUGAUGGGAUAAGAAUGUUGCAAUCUGAUCAGAUCCGGAUCAAUACGAUCGAUUGCACUUACAAUUAAAAAGAAUACAAAACUUAAAUAUAAAUAAGAAAUAAAAAUUAAAAGACAACCCUAAAUCCCUAAAUCCUUAAAUUUCCCAAAUCAAAACAGAAAGAAUCAAAAAAAGCAACUCAGCCGCAUGCCGACAUUAGCGACGAACCCAGCCAUUCUCUUGAGAAAUAGUUGGCCAGUGUCACGAUCGGUUCCAAUGGCUUGACCACGUCCCCUUCCUCUAGCUCUUCCUCGAGCUAUGUUGUAGUGGCAAAGAAUAACGAUGGAGAAAUAAUGAUAGAACAGCUAACAAAGAAUUUAGUUUGAUUCUCAAUGAUCCUUUUAUUGAAUAAAUUAUGCUCAAUUUAUACACUACUAACUGCAACUUGACAACAAAAGCGCAACUCACAACCAGAAAAUAGCAACAGCAACUAAGAAAUAGCAAGUAAAUCAGAUUCUUGCCUAUUAUUCGGACUAGUGACCCACUACUUUGACUGACUCAACAAAACAAAUAAACUAAAAUGCUGACUCAUGACAGCCAGUUGCAAAGCCGAUGAUGCCCGAGCUGCAUGCCGAUGACGUCCCAGCCGACAGCUGCUGGGCCAGUGACCCGUACAUUGCAAAAGUCCUAAACCUAGUCGUUGCAUUUAUUUGUUUGUUGCAAAGGUUUCAAAUGGAGUCGGAUCCAUUAAAGCUUUUGAGGUGCAGAGGUUAUAAAAAUAGAAUAGAUACUUUGAAAAACUUGCAGAGGUUUGCGUCGUUUGAAUUGCUUGUGAACUUAUUUUUGCAUGCAUGUUAUUCUCUAUGCUUUUUGGUGAUUGUAAAAUUAAUUGUUUGAUUUAGCUUUCCAACUUUUGGGAUGCAAUUGUUACUGGUGUUCUCAACAAAAUAAUUGAUGUGAAAAUGGACGAACUUUCAUUUUUUGUCUUUGUUCUUCCAUUUGCUAGCUUGCUGCAUUUUUUUCUUAAUUUCUAUGAUUUUUCAAUUUUGUAUUUCAACUUGCAAGUGAUUGAGAUUCAUCUGAUUUAUUCGAACACAUCUGAUUCCAAUUUCAGUAUGAUAUUAUCGAUCUGAUCCGAAUCCAAAUUAAUCCGCACUAUUCAUCCAAUUUGAAUGUGAUCCGCACAUAAUCGGAUUGGAUGCAAGUUCAUAUUGCAUUCAUAUGACUUUUUAUCAAUUCGAACAAUCCAAAAUCUGAUCGUAUUAAUCCGAAUAUUAUCUGCAUCCAAUUUUGCCCAUCUCUACUACUUAUAAGCCCAAGUGACUCUCUUUUACUAAUUAACUAGAAAAUAGACCCGCGUUUCACGCGGCUUUGAAAAAAGAAUUUACUAUUAUCUUUUUUUUCUUACUUUACACUUGAUGAAAUAGAUAAAAAAAUAAGAAUUGAUUUUUUUUUAAAGAUGAGGCAGCCUUAUAAAAAAAAAAGUUAUUAGGUAGUAAUAUAAAUAAAGAAGCAACACAAGAUAAAGAAUAAAAUGAGAGAAUAUAUUAUAGAGAGAUUUUAUUCAUUCCAAUUGUGUGUGUACAAAAUAAAAAGAUGAGCUCUCCUUUUAUAGUUACAUAAUCACUCCAUGAAGUUAAUGAAAAAUUAUGGAUCAUAAUUUCUUGUGAGAUAGUGGGAGUUAUAGGGAAGCUAAAGGUUGCUAAUGGGAGAUAGUGGGGAGACUAAGAGAUAUAUGUUAUGAACAUUUAUAUUUAUUUUAAUAAAUUCAUAACACUCCCCCUUGGAUAUUCAUUACAAAAAAUAUGCAUCAUUAAAAUUUUUACAUAAUUGUUAUUGUAUAAUAACAAUCAAAUUAAUUAUGAGAAGAUGAAAAACCAAAUCUAAAAGAAAAUUUCUCUAUUUAUUAGAUAAUAGAGAAUAUACAAAGAAGAGAAAUGGUGAUGCCACAUCACCUCCUCAAGUCCCAACUUUAUAUAGAUAUAUAGAUAUGGGACAUUAUUUAAGAAUUCUUUCUCAAAUGAGGAAAAUUAUCAUACCAUUUUUAUCCAUUAAUUUAGAAUAAAUGCAUUUAUCAUCAUUAUUAUGUUUAAAUCCAUGCAACAUGAUCAUAGAAUCAAAAUUUUCAUGUUGUUGCGUUAGUGCUUAUUUAAGAUCAUAUAAUGACUUUAUUAAUUUACUAAAUUUAUUUUGUAAAUUAGUAAAUUUAUUUUUUCCUUUCUUUGUUGUAAAUCAUUUUGCAUCCAACCACCCUCUAAAGGCUUGGGCCAAUGUUUCAAACAACAAUGCAUCAAGUUCCAAUCUAAGUUAAGAUCCUGCUGAUGCAUCUAGUUGAUUAGAUAAUAAUGAGUCUAUCUCAUUACUUGUUGCCUCUUUCCACAAGGCUGCAUCUGUUGAAGCCAUAGCCUCACUGAGAGUUUAAAGAUCUUCUUCCAUAUUAAAUAGGGAAAUUAUCAUUCUACCAUCUUUCUUUUGACUUAUGUUCAUUUAACCACCACUAAAUUUCAACAUGUUUUCUGCAAUACCUUUCUUUUUAAAUUUGAAUCAAUUAGCCACUUUUACACUAACACUGUUAAAUAAUUUAAACAAAAUGAUAAUUUUACUUCUAAAUAAAUUAAAAUGCCAUUUUAUCUUAUAAAAGCUUUGAAAAAUAAAAAAAUUUUACUUACAAAAUAAUCCAAAAUAGAGGUGCUCAGCUUAUUUUUAUUAAAAAUUUAUAAUUUUGUAAAAUUUUAUUAAAAUAACUAAAUUUAUUUAUUAAAAAUAAAUCCCAAAAUUUUAAUGUUUUAGGGGAUGUUUAUUAAAUCCCAAAAUUUUGCAAUUAUUUUAUAAUUAUAAUUUUUAUUAAAAUAAAAAUUCUAAUUUGGGGAUUUAUUUCUUUAUUAAAUUUAGGGGUAUUUCUAUAAUUAUAAUUAUAAUUUUUUAUUUUUUAUAAAAUAAAAUGAUCUUUUAAUUUAUUUAGGGGUAAAUUUAUCAUUUUGUUUAAAUUAUUUAAUGGUGUUAGUGUAAAAGUGACUAAUUGAUACAAAAUUAAAAAGAAAAGUAGUGCAGAGAACAUGUUAAAAUUUUGUAGUAAUUGAAUGAGCAUAAGGCAAAAGAGUAGUGGUGAAAUGAUAAUUUUCCAAUUAAAUAAAACGGGUGUUCGAUUAAGAACUCUAUCUCUAUCUCCUCGUCCUAUCAAAUAACGUCAACCAUCCAAAAGAAAAAAAUAAAUUGGAAAAGUCCACGGGUAGCAAUAAUUUCUGGUCCGUUCCUGGACCUCCAUUAUCUGGCACUAUGAAUAAUGAAAAUGACAUUGCAAUCGUUAGGUAUCUUGGAAAAAUGACGAAAGUUUUUGGAGGGAGGUGGGGGAAUUGUCAAAAGUUCACACAAUGCGAAACAAGUGUUACAUCCAAUUAAAUUUUAUUUCAUUACCUCUUUUGCCUCAUAAAUAAUAGGAUCACCACGAGAUAAUGAUAAUAUCAAAUAAUGACAACCAUCCAAAUGUAUGAUGGGUCUUCCAAAUUUUGAAAAUGUCGUCAACAUCAAAUCUUCAAUGCCGAAGAAGGUAUAUGCCCAAAAAAUGACACGCAAGACCCACUCCACAGACUAAAUUGUCCUUGAUCAUAUGUAACAAACUUUGGCCUUAUGUGCCUGUGGUGACAUUAGACUGUUCAUUUUCAUUGUUUCUUACCUUCCAUUUACGCCCACUGUAGUAUUAUUUUAUUCACCAUUUUAGCCAUUUAAAUGAAAUUUUAUUUUUGUCAAAAAAUGAACUUUUACUUUUGUCAAAAAUAAAAUGAUACCCUAAAAAUUUAGAAAAAUAGUCACGUAGACCUCAAAUUUUUAAUAUAGGAUACCAAUACCCCUUUUGAUCAUAAUACUACUCUUAGUAGAUGGUAAAAAAAAAAAAAAGACUUCAAAAUUUUUUAUAAAAUUUAAAUAAUUAAUUUCAAUAUUAAAUUUUAAAAUGUGAAUUAAUAUAUUUGUAUCUAUAAAAUACUUGUAAUUAUUACAAAAAAAAUUUAAAUGAAUCCUUAGGUUAAAUAGAUUUUACAAUUAAUAUAAUAUUUCUCAUGUAUUAAUAAUAUUAAAAUUAUUUUAUGUGAUAUUGAAAAUAAUUUAAAUUUUUAUGUAUUUAUUUGAAUAUUAUGUCUCUAUUUAUUAUUAUUUGGUUUAAUAGAAUACGAGAUUUUAAAAUAUUAAAAUAUUUUUAGAUAUUGAAAUUAUUUUAAUAUGUAUACAUUAUUAUAUUCAUUUUAAUAUCCUACUUAUAUUUAUUAUAAAAUAUGAGAAUUAAUUUUUUUAGUUAAUAAAUUUAAAAAAUACUAUAAUAAAAAAAAAGGAUCUUAUUGUCCGGUAUUCACGACAUGAGGUACUACAAAAUUAUUUCCCCGGACGGGUGUGCUUUUCUUAUUUUUAGAAAGAAAAAUAAGUCAAUGGGUUUCAACAAUUUCUAGUCCUAUCUGCCACUAUGACUAAUGGAAACGACAUUGCAAUUGACAUUGCUUUUCGCAAUAUGACUAUUUUUUGGAGAAUCGUCAAAAGUUCACUCCACUAGAGAGUUUUAGGUGGGAGAAUUGUCAAGAGUUCACACCACAUGAAACUAAUGAUAGACUUAAUUUCGCUGUCAGUUCUUUAUUUAUUUAUUUUAUUUAUUUAAUACAUUAUUGUCUUGUUGGUAUUGUGUUGUAAAGAUAUAAAAGUAAAGUAAAAUAUUAAGGGUGCUGUUAAGUUACAACUGAUGUAACUUACAGUUUUUUAAAAAAUAAUGUAAAAAAUUUAAUAGGUGGUGGGACUCAAUUUUUUUUUUUUUGAAGAGAUCAUAAGUUACAGCACUUGUAACUUAACAAAAUCCAAAUAUUAGACAAUAAUACAUAUUAACAAUGCAUAUAAUUUGGGUCUGAUUUUUAAAAAAUUAUUUGAGUACCACCUAUCCUUAAGAUAUUAAUGUGAAUGUAUUUUAAUAGUAAAUAAUAAAUUUUUUUUAACUAUUAUUUGUAUUUCAUACAUUACAUAUUAUAUUUGUUUGAAUUUUAAGUUGUUGCUAAUAAAUAUUUAUGUUGUGAAAGUCGAAUUCAAUAGCUACAAAAGAAGAGAUAAUGGUAUUUUAUAUAGUUUUUAAGAAUACAAGGAUAAGCUGGAUAAUUGACUUAAGUUCUAAUGAUUAAAACAACAACUAUCCCUUAAAUUAUAAUGUCAAUUUCUUUAAUUAGAAUUUUUUUCAACAAUUGCUACAGUUUUUUAAAUAAUAAUGGGAGUUAUAAAUUAUUUAUAUAAAAUUUGUGUAGAAACUAAUGUAACCUAAAAGUGGUUGCUGAAUAACAAUAUUUGAAACUUUAGGUAAUUUUCAUAUCAGCCCUUUUUAUAUUCAGCAACUUUAGAACUUAAACAAACUUGCCCUCGAUCUUAAUUUAUUUACCCCAUUUAAACCCAUGAUGCAUGAUGACAUAAACAGAUUCUUGUGUGAUGAAAACAUCAAGAAAAGACAUCUCAUGUUUUAAUAUAACAGAAAAAAAGCGGUCCAUAAGUCUAUCCAUUAUUUUAUUUAUUCAGUACAAAUGGCCAACUUUAAAAAAUGAUAAAAGUCACACAACGCUUAAGUGAAAAUUAAAAAUGACAUUUUUUAAUACUCUCUGAGUCUCUCUCUCUCCCCCUUUUUUUUCUAAAUAAACCUUAGUUUAAAAUUAGAAGAAUUUUAGAUAUAAAAAUUUGUCAAUCACUUAACAGAAAAGUAGGGGAAUGAAAACAAAGGAGCCCCUGUUAUUAUUGGAAUAUUAAUUAUAGAUGUUAUAAUAUCUAUAACUUGUCGUGGUUCAUUGUAGCAUUCUAAGCCAUAUUCUAAAACUAGGAAAUAGAACCGCACUUCGUCCGGCUUUAAAAAAAAUUAGUAUUAUUUUUUUAUUCCUUUGUAAUUAAUGAAAUUGAUAAAAAAUAUGAAUUAUUUUUUUAAAAGAUGACGCAGUCUUAUAAAACUAAUGUUAUUUAUGAAAGUUAAUUAUUUUUUGUUAACAUUAAAAAUAUAUAUUAAUGUGUAUAGUUAAGUGUACACAACCUUUUCAUCAAUAAAAAUUAUGUUCACACUAAUCAACUCUCCAUUUUUCUUGGUAUAAAUGGCAUUGUUGAGGGAAGAUGAUGAAACCUUCCUUCUUAUAUUAAUUAAUUGAUGUAUUUUAAGCCACUAAAAUUUAAUUGUUGGCAUAAUAAAAUAAAUGAAUGUUUCAAAACUCAUAAUUAAUUAUUAUUAAUGGUUACAUAUUGUUGAAUUUAAAUAGAAAUAGGAAAAGACAUGUAAUCAUUUAUAAUUUAAUAAUUAUUUUAUAUUUUAAUAUUUUGUAAUGUAAUUAUUUUUUAAUUUCAACCAAUUUAUUAAAUAAUAGACAAUAUGAAAUGAUGAGAAAUGGUGAUGCCACAUCACCUCUUGUAGUCCCAACUUUAUAUAUAUGUAUAGAUAGAUAGAUAAAUUAAUUCAUGUAUUUUAUGCCACUAAGGUUUAAUUGCUAGCAUAAUAAAAUAAAUAAAUGUUUCAAAAGACUUAUAAUUAAUUAUUAUUAAUGAUUACAUAUUGUUGAAUUUAAAUAGAAAGAGAAAAAAAAGUACAAAGAAUAUUCACCAAUAUUUUAGAUAUUUUAUAUAAUAGAAAAUAUAAAAAGAUGAGGAAUGAUAUAUAUUAAUAAAGUUACUAUUUAUUAAAUGAGUUAAAUACAAUCAAAUUAAUUAUGAGAAGAUGAAAAGACAAAUUUAAAAAAAAAAAUAUCUAUUUAUUAGAUAAUAGAGAAUAUACAAAGAAGCAAAAUGGUAAUGCCACAUCACCUCCUCAAGUCUUAGCUUUAUAUAUAUAUAUAGAUUAGUAGAUUUGUUAAGAUUUUUAUUAUUGGCAUCAUUGUGUCAAUAUUAUUAUAAUUUAUUCAUUCUAUUGUAAUGAAAAUUUGUCUAUUCUUAGCUACUUAUUAAAUUAUCCUUAAUUUAUUACGAAUAUUUUUGGAGACAAAAGAAACACGUGUAUGUAGGAUUAAUGAUUGGAGAGUUGUAAGUAAAGGUGAUUGCUUCAUUGAGAAGCAUAUUAAAGAAUUAUGGAAAGUUGCACUGUUCCAGAAGCAUAUAUUUAUACUUCCCUAUUUGGACUUGUGAAGUGAUGAUCCGGCCGUAACUAUUGUGAAGCUUUCCUCAAGUAUUCUCAUGCAUACUUGAGGAAAGAUACAAAUUGCAUACAUGUCUAGGAGCCUUAUCAAAGGCGUUAUAUAACUUGUCCAAUUAAUUAAUUCUCUUAAGGGUCAUACCGUGCUCACUCAUUUCAAAAGCAAUUAAGGAUAAGAACUUUCAUCAUUAAUUGAUAUGGCCAGUGUAGAAAAAAUGCCAAGAUCAAAGCACAAGGAUAAGUUUAGAAUUACACUUUUUAAAUUUUGGUUAAUAAAUAAACGUCUAUAUGAAAAUGGAAAAUCUUUUUGGAAUAACUUUUCUUUUCUUUUCUUUUUUUAAUGAAUGUGGAUAUAAAAUUUUAAAAUCGCCAAACCGAAAAGAAAAACAGGGGAAUGAAAAGAGGGCUCUGUUUCUCCUCUGUUUCGAUUUUUUUAUUACUAAACAGGGGAAUGAAGAGAUCAGCUCUUGUCGCAAGUGCAAAUGCAGUUGGUUAUUCUACUUUUGCUAGUGAAGUUUUGGGCCUUGUCGUAAUUGCUGUAAUUGCGACAUCGGUGGUUGACAUGGCUUUCCUUGUACAGGUAUGUAUGAUUGUUUUUUUUUUUUUUGCACUUCUAAAUGGACACUGUUGAAAAGCUUAAAAUUGAACUGAUAAUUUUGUUUGGAAGCUUAGAAAAUUCAUGAGAAAGUGAAAUAGAAUAUUCUGGAUUUCUUACAUAAAAAAAAACAGAAUUAAAGCAAGGUACACAACUAUAACAGAAUCAAAAGCGUGCUUUACUAAUUGGCUGAGCUGGCAUAUACUUCUUUAACUAACAAUGCUGCUGACUGGACUUUAGCUCACACAUGCUUAUUGUGGAGCUACUCUUACUUCACACGUGCUCAGUGUGCUUCCUUAACAGACACAAGGGAAAAGACAUGAUUUUGAGAUUAAUUUAUACCAUAAUAAUAAUAAAGCUAGAGUAAUGAUAUGAAUCAUUAAUUGCUACAAAAUAAUUUGCUAGAUAGCGCCAACACUUAAUUGAUACUCACCAUUUCAUUGAACAAUUGUUUUAUGGUGUCAUUGAGGUUGCCUUCCCAACAUCCUUCAUCAUCAUCAUCUUCUUCAUCCUCAUCAUCUUUUUCUUCGGUGAGUUUCACUUUGUUUAGCUUUGGUGUGUCUACGACUCCUUGUGAGAAAAUCUUCAUCUUUGGGCACUGUCUCGCAAUUACUUGUUCCAAAGGAUGGGAAUUGAAGAGUGUAAUUACCCCGAACAAAGCUUGUUAAGCCUGUCAACCAAUGAAGUGUCAAGUAGUUUCAUUUUCUCGGAAGAACAAUGCAAGCCCUUUCACUUCUCUCAACCUGCAAUUGUUAUGAUCUUCCUUCUAUCAUUUUGCAAUCAGCNNNNNNNNNNNNNNNNNNNNNNNNNNNNNNNNNNNNNNNNNNNNNNNNNNNNNNNNNNNNNNNNNNNNNNNNNNNNNNNNNNNNNNNNNNNNNNNNNNNNUGAGAGUGUCACACAUUUAUCAACCUGUGACACUUCGAUACUUCUAGUCCCCACAGAUUUUCCAAAUGCCACGAAGGUGGUACUAAUUUUUGCAACUUACUACGUUCCGAUAUUUCUAGACUUCCCAUGUUUGCAAACGCUUUGUUGGAUUCGUCAUUUUCCUUCCAGAGAUGCUGCACUUUGUGUAAUCUAGAUAGCUUUAACUCCAUCAAUUGAGGGAAUGCAACCUGAAAAUCAACAAAAUUAAGUUGUAAAUGAAAAUAUGUAUCCAAUCUCUGGAGUCUUCCCCUGCAUAUUUUAUGGACAAGAUUAAUCACGACAUUUUAUAUUUUUUUUCCAAAUUAGUAUGCUUUGCAGUAGGUUCCUAAAUAUAAAUAUCAAAUCGAUUACCCUUUGAAACACAUAAAUGAAAUCUGAGGCUAAAUCCAAUAUGAAUUAGCUAGGAAAACAGAGAUGUAACACACAUAAUUAAUAUAGUUCAUCACCUCGUGUUACCAGGCAUCCAAUUAAUUUCAGACAUUUUUAUAAUUCAUACUAUAAAGUUAGUUAAUAACGGAGGUUAUAUUGUUAAAUCAGAUAUAAAUUAAGACGACGUGCAAAAAGAUGAGUCAUUAAAUUUGAUUUAAUUCUAAUGAAAUUACAUCUAUGCGAACGAAAGUGAAGGGAAAAAUAAUAAUAAUAAUAAUCACAUUUUCAUCGAAGAGGGGUUGUACUUGAUGAGCCAGCAAGAAGUUCUCUUCUGAUGUUAAUUUUUGAGGUUCCUUGUUAUCUGUUGUCACGUGCACUACAGAGUUGGAUAUGAAUGUUUCCAUAUCAGGGCAAUUCUCAAUAGUCAGACGUUUCAACUCAGGCAUUUCAAUUAUAUUCUCAGUGAAGUUGGGAAUCUUUUGAGUUUUGGAAGAUCAAUGAGCCUUAGCUCGAAAAAGCUUAGGAAACAGGGGGCCUAUAUGUUCUUUGUCAACACUUAGCUCUUCCAAAUGAAGCACCUCUGCUAGCGAAUCACAAUUCCUCACUUCCAGGUCCAUCAAAUUGUUCAAGCACCGUAGCAGAUUGGCAGGAAUAGCACUCGACAUAUUCGUGCAGUCAUCCACCACCAGGUGUCCUAAAUUGUUGAAGAAGCUGACAGGCAGUGCUUGGCCAUGCCAUAUUUCUUGCAAACGUGGAAAAUGCGAGAGUUGCAAAUACUUUAUGUCACGAAAUCCAAUCUGCACAAACCAAAACAAUUGCACUGGAUAUAUACAAUUUUUUACUUUUUGAAAGGCACAGACAUAUAUACAUUAAACUUACAUGUUUUGUGCUUAAAUGUGCAAGUGCAAGGGAGAUGCAUGAGCAAUUUUGAUGAAUCGAUUCACACAAAUCAUUUCUUUGUAACACUUUUGUAUAGUGGAAUUAAGAUUGCCUUCACGAUCGUGCAAUUCACCCUCUUCCUUUUUAGUCACUUGCACUUUGUGCAGCUUUGGUGUGGAUAAGAUUCCCAGGGAAAAAGUCUUCAUGUUCGGACAAUGUGUCACAGAUACUUGUUCCAAUGAUGGGAAUUCAAGAGUGUAAUUCUCCAAGCAAAAGCUGGCAAGCCUUGGUAAAUCAUCAAGUAUCAAAAGUUUUAAUUUGCUGAAAGCAAUACGAUUCUCCUUCGCUUCUUCUCCAACAUGUCCUAUGAUUUCUUCUAUUUUUUUGCAGAUUGAUACAUUAAGAUUCACUAAAAUACCCGGAAUUCCAACCUGAAAAUAAGCAAAAGAGUGUGUGUGUAUUAAAAAAGUAAAAAUUAAGAGUAUCAUUCAACUAGGUUCAAAGUAUGUUUAAAUCAUACAAUUAUACGUUUUAUAAACAUAACAAACCAUGAAAUGGCUACUAGAUAAUUUUUGUUAAACAAAAAAGGCAACAAGAUAAGUAAAUAAAUAAAAGCCAGAUAAACAAAGAUAAUAAAAACGCAUUUACACUAUUUAGUAUUAGGAGCGUAGAAAGAAUUUAAGGCAAUUUCUAAAUAUUUUAGACUUAUUUUGCAUUUCGAUGCAAAUUUUUAAAUAAAUUUGAAAUUGCAACUAUUCCUUUAAAAAAAAACUCAACCAAAAUGCUGCUUUUUCCAUUUUCCUUGGUCCCUUUUUUUUAUGUAUAUUAAAAAAUGCAAAAAAAAAAUGGAAAAGACUUCCCAAUACUGUCAACGUAGGACUGUUGUAAAGCGGGUCUUUAUUAAGUACUUCCAUGAAUUUAUGAUUAAUUAAUGUCAUAAUCAAUUCAUAACUAAACUAGAGAUAUUAAUUAAAUUUGAAGACUUUUCUUUUUCUUUUUUUCCAAACGAAAUGUCAAGAAUUAAGGAAAAGAGAAAUAUAUAGAUGAAUUUGUGAACCUAUAAGAUGAGUGACUAUCCUUUAAUUUUUGAAAAUCGUACUUAUUAAGAUAUGAGAAAAACAAUUAAAUUGAAUUAUAUUAUGCUGUUGAAUCGUGUUUAAAAAAAUUAUAUUGUUGAUUCUAAUAAUGGCGAACCUAAAAACUGGACUUAAAACGUAGAUUUCAGAGUGGUGGUUCGAAGUACAAUACUUGAAAUAAAUAAUUAGUGCCUGAAUAUCAUUCGUAAACACAAAAAUGGUUAAAAAAUUGUUGGAUGUAAUUUGAAAAAAAAGAUUCGAAAUGAAUACAGCAACCUUACCAAUGGAGGAAAAAUAUUCAUUAGGUUAUCACACCAAGAUAUCUUCAAAUUCUUCAAUUUGCUGAAAGACUCUGAAGCAAGCUGGUGGUGCCAUAUUCUUCUCAAAUUAUCCAUCCACCAAAUAUGUAAUUCCUCCAACUUCGGAAGUCGUACCUGGCAGUUAAAGGUUAAAUAACUAAUUAAUCGGCAUAAUCUAUUGAUAACCAAAUUAGAGGCUGAUACUAACUAAAUUUGAAGACUCAAGGAAAAGACAAAUUAAAUAUUGUGGCUAAAAUUAAUUUAAAAAAAAAAAAAACCUUUUCGUCAAAGAGAGGUGGAGAUUGCAUUUCAGAAUGAAGGGUGUCUGCUGGUGAGCUCGUAGAGAUGAAUCUUAACAUAUUAUUGCAACCACCAAUCUCGAGGUUUAGUAAAGAAGGGAAUUCAACAACUAAAUCUGAAUGAAUAUGUCCCGUAUUGGCAAAGCUCGUUAGUUUUGGAAGCACACAAAGCCGUAAGGAGUGUAGUUUAGGAAAAACCUCUAACUCAAUCAACUUUCCUUCAUCUCUUCCUCCUAACCACCCUGUGGUGUCGACUACCCCUUCCAUCGACUUACAAGAUCUUAUCACAAGAUGUUGGAGUUGCAAAAGACUAUUAACCAUAGAAUAUGAAAACAGAUACUUCAGACGAUCACAACUUUCCACGGUCAUUUUUGUUAAAUUUCCACAAUAAGACACUCCCUGAAACUGUUCGGGCCAUAAUUUUUCAAUGGUUGUUAACCAUAUAAGUUUCAACUCCUCCAAGCGUGGAAAAAUAACCUGAAGCAAAACGGUACGCUUUUGUUCCGUCAAUUACAACUGUCUAAUAUAAUAAUCUUUUGAUGAUUGAAGAUCAAUCGUGAUAAUAUAUUAAUUUAUUAAUUAUAAAACAGAAAAUUAUCACCUUGUGAACAGAAUCAUCCUCUGCAAUGAUUUCUGUCAAUCCCUGAGUAGCUGUUGGCUUCUCCAUGUCGGGCCCUAUAAAUGAACAAAAACAAUCUAUAAUUAACCUCUGUCCUUUUUUUUUUAAAAAAAAGAGAAAAAAGAAUGAGCCAAUGUCAAUAAUCCUACCAAUAAUUAAUUUCAACACUUACCAAUAAUCAUUUUCAAAUCAUCGCAGUUUUCCACUUCUACUUUUUGAAGCCGCAAUAGGUUUUUGGCCAUGAAGAAUGAGAAGAGAUGCUUCAAUUUGUCACAAAAAAAUACUUUUAUAAUCCUUAAGUUGCUGAAAGAUUGAUCUUCUCUGAGUUGGCUGUAGCAUAUCGUUUCCAAAUUAGUUAAACCAAUAAGAUACAAUGUCUCCAGCAAGGGAAAGACUUUGCAACGAGCUCGUCCAAUUGAACCGACAAUAUGUAAAAUCUCAGGACAGCCUGCUACUAGAAGAUGCUCCAAUUGUGGAAAACCUUCCCCAUCGUCUAAUUCAUGAACAACACUCGGAACACCAUUCAAUGUUACUAGACGGAGAUCUUCAGUUCUUUUUAGCAACAUUUUCAUCCCAUAAUUCUCCAAAAGAAUGCUAACGUUUUCUAGCUCCUGGAGUUUCAUUGAUCUUGAUGUUUCAGAUGUCAAUUUUUCUAGCUCCGUGAUAACUAUGGAUGCUGAUGCUCUAGAUGUGGCGAAGGACACAAGUCCAUUUCGUUGCACUUUUCCUAUACAUAUCUGAUACCUUUGCAAUUCCACAGAGACCAAAUCCUGCGGCAGAAUUUCGGGAUCCGGAACAUCUAUCUCCAAAGUAGUUAGCUUUGACAACCCCUUCAACUCGACAAGACUGGCAUUACUUCCUCCUUCAACCUUAUCCCACUGUGAAAAGCUGCAACCCAUGUACAGUUCUUCUAGUCGAGAUAAUUUGGAUAUGAUGUUAGGAAAUUGGUGGGUGCAGCAGGACCGCAGCUAAAAUAAAAUUGGAAAUAAAAUAAAGAACAAGCACACUAGAGGACACAAGAAAAUUACGUGGUUCGGCUUUUAGCCUACGUCCACGGGCGAAGACAGAAGGAAAUAUUUUACUAGUGAAAAGGAGUUACAAGUAUUGUAGUAUUUUAGCUCACUUCCCAAAAUCCCAAUACACCCAAACUCUCAAAACACUAAACACUCAAGAGUUUAUUAAACUCUUAAAACUCUCAACACUCAAAGAAAGCAAUGCUUCUCUCUCGAUGGAAUUGGAUGAAAAUGAAUGAGGAAGCUCUUCCUUUUAUAGCCAAAAAAUGGCUAUUAAAUUAAUAUAUAUAUGUAUAUAUUUCAAAUGUAGUUACCAACUUCUUCUUUUUCUCCAUUUGGAUGGCACCAUUUUCUUUGGCCGGCUGCACCAUUUUCUUCUUUCAAAUGUCAAACCCUUCUAGAUGCAGCCAUGCCAAACACUUCUAGAUGCAGCCAACUUUGACAUAUGACAUUCGGUGUUAUCACCUCAAGCCUCCUACAAUUGCUCAAAUCCAGCAACUGUAACCGCGUCAAUUGUCCAAAUUCAAGUGGCAACCGCUCAAUAUCGGAACCUCGAAAGCUAAGAAUCUCUAAUUUCUUUAGCUGUCCAACUAUUACUAUAUCUUUUAGUCGGCAAUAUUCUAAACACAAUGUUUGAAGGUUAAUGAGGCGACCAAGUGAUGAAGGUAAUGAAGAGAAGUGAAUUCCAGUAAAAUUCAAAACUCUGAGUCCUUCCGUCCCAUCAAAAAAGUGGUCUGAAAUUGGCAUAGAGCCACCACCCUUUUCAAGCAACAAAAGUAACUCGAGACGGGGACAUUGCAACCUUUCAGGAAGCACUUGAAUACCUCUAUAAGGUAAAGAAAUAGCAAUUGGACCUUCCUGUACUGUCUCUUCCAUCUUUUUGUCCAAGUCGGCAACAUUUGGAAUAUUAAACAUGAGCUCCUCUUUUGCAAUUGAUACGGCAACUACACGAAUGACGUCAUGCAUUUUGACUUCAUCUUCAGCAUCACCGUCCAACAAUAAGCAUGAAGAUUUGAGUUUGCUGAUCAACGUAUGCACUGUACUCCUUGCUU